AAGACGGAUUGAUAACGAGCUGUCAAUUUCGAUUUUCAUUAUUUCAUUUUUGACAAGCGGUCUGUCCCGGAAGUUCUCUCUGUCCGGCUUACACAGGGGCCGUAUCACACACAUUGUGCUGGCUGCAGGCAGACAAGCUUGUUCCUUUCAGGUUUCAGGCUAUAUACUAUAGUAUUUUCUGCCAGCCGCAAGUCAGUUUAAGUAAUGCUCCUGUGAGAAACAAAUAAUACCGGACAUCUGGUCACCGAGAAAAAUGGUUGGCCUGAGUUUUUAGUUUAGUUUUUUUUAUUUUGAAAGGCCAGAGCACGGGGGAGUGGCUUUCCACACCUACCUGCAGCCAUACCAGUCUCAUCUCUGGACCAGCAAGAUGGCCAGCAUUGCACUGCGCCACCAGCAGCGAUAAACAGAGGCAGGCGGCUCUUGAGGAGGAGAGGCCUCAGCUUCAGGUUUGGAUGCAGCUUCCCAGAAUCUCCCAGUGAUCCUCUUCCUCCUCCUGACAUCGUCUCUUCACUUUCUCCUCAUCUUUUAUAUACAUAAAUUAUAGGGAUAUUUUUUCAUGAUUCCCCAAACAUUGGCUGAAUAUCUGCUUGUAUGUUAUUGUAAUAAAUAUUUUUUUAUGAAAACAUUUUGUCCCUGUUUAUUUUGUAAGAUUUGAGUUUACAGCUCUGAAUACGUAAAGGUUGACACAAAUUAAAUCUGAAAUAAUUAUUUUCAUGUUUCUUGCUUAUAAAUCCAGUGCUAAGGAAUAAUGGAAAGAAUCAACUCAAAAGUUGUUCAUUAUAUUUAGUCAGUUGAGUCUAAUAAGUUAUAAGUAAAUAGUCUCAUGAUGGGGACAAAAGUUUUCAUUUCUAAUUGGACAGUCAUACUUCACUUAUAAAAAUGUGAAAAAA
Long non-coding RNA from Poecilia latipinna (sailfin molly), 890 nucleotides. RefSeq lists it as uncharacterized. The record is from RefSeq and is a predicted model, not a curated record. The transcript has 2 exons. Lineage: Eukaryota; Metazoa; Chordata; Actinopteri; Cyprinodontiformes; Poeciliidae.